RNAcentral lists this ribosomal RNA (882 nucleotides) under Enterobacter cloacae. RNAcentral describes it as "bacterial SSU rRNA". It matches the Rfam family "Bacterial small subunit ribosomal RNA", at positions 650 to 1532 of the family's 1533-position model. Lineage: Bacteria; Pseudomonadati; Pseudomonadota; Gammaproteobacteria; Enterobacterales; Enterobacteriaceae. The record is from RNAcentral.
UGUAGAGGGGGGUAGAAUUCCAGGUGUAGCGGUGAAAUGCGUAGAGAUCUGGAGGAAUACCGGUGGCGAAGGCGGCCCCCUGGACAAAGACUGACGCUCAGGUGCGAAAGCGUGGGGAGCAAACAGGAUUAGAUACCCUGGUAGUCCACGCCGUAAACGAUGUCGAUUUGGAGGUUGUGCCCUUGAGGCGUGGCUUCCGGAGCUAACGCGUUAAAUCGACCGCCUGGGGAGUACGGCCGCAAGGUUAAAACUCAAAUGAAUUGACGGGGGCCCGCACAAGCGGUGGAGCAUGUGGUUUAAUUCGAUGCAACGCGAAGAACCUUACCUGGUCUUGACAUCCACAGAACUUUCCAGAGAUGGAUUGGUGCCUUCGGGAACUGUGAGACAGGUGCUGCAUGGCUGUCGUCAGCUCGUGUUGUGAAAUGUUGGGUUAAGUCCCGCAACGAGCGCAACCCUUAUCCUUUGUUGCCAGCGGUCCGGCCGGGAACUCAAAGGAGACUGCCAGUGAUAAACUGGAGGAAGGUGGGGAUGACGUCAAGUCAUCAUGGCCCUUACGACCAGGGCUACACACGUGCUACAAUGGCGCAUACAAAGAGAAGCGACCUCGCGAGAGCAAGCGGACCUCAUAAAGUGCGUCGUAGUCCGGAUUGGAGUCUGCAACUCGACUCCAUGAAGUCGGAAUCGCUAGUAAUCGUAGAUCAGAAUGCUACGGUGAAUACGUUCCCGGGCCUUGUACACACCGCCCGUCACACCAUGGGAGUGGGUUGCAAAAGAAGUAGGUAGCUUAACCUUCGGGAGGGCGCUUACCACUUUGUGAUUCAUGACUGGGGUGAAGUCGUAACAAGGUAACCGUAGGGGAACCUGCGGUUGGAUCACCUCCUU